GCUUUUCUCAAGGAUUGGAUCAGACCAUCCGAUAGGAAAUUGAGUUUCCUUGGGUAUACCAAGUUUUUGCAUGGUGUGACGAUGCGAAGUUCAAGCACAAGACAUCAUCGAUAACAUGGCUGCACAGAGCACAUCAGUUGCUCCAAAGAGAGAACAAGAGAUUAUAGUUUCUAUUCUUUUCGUUCUUUUUUUCCUUUUGUGCAGUAAUAGAAAGUGUUUAAUUUAUCUAUUGUCAAAGAUAUCCA
Molecule: unclassified non-coding RNA, 245 nt
Filed under: Hevea brasiliensis (rubber tree)
Lineage: Eukaryota; Viridiplantae; Streptophyta; Magnoliopsida; Malpighiales; Euphorbiaceae
Source: RNAcentral